RNAcentral lists this ribosomal RNA (442 nucleotides) under uncultured bacterium. RNAcentral's name for it is "bacterial SSU rRNA". It matches the Rfam family "Bacterial small subunit ribosomal RNA", at positions 28 to 517 of the family's 1533-position model. The record is from RNAcentral.
GAUGAACGCUAGCGGCAGGCUUAAUACAUGCAAGUCGAACGCACCGCAAGGUGAGUGGCAGACGGGUGAGUAACGCGUGGGAACGUGCCCUUCAGUUCGGAAUAACCCAGGGAAACUUGGGCUAAUACCGGAUACGUGCGAGAGCAGAAAGAUUUAUCGCUGAAGGAUCGGCCCGCGUCUGAUUAGCUAGUUGGUGGGUAAUGGCCCACCAAGGCGACGAUCAGUAGCUGGUCUGAGAGGAUGAUCAGCCACAUUGGGACUGAGACACGGCCCAAACUCCUACGGGAGGCAGCAGUGGGGAAUAUUGGACAAUGGGCGCAAGCCUGAUCCAGCCAUGCCGCGUGAGUGAUGAAGGCCUUAGGGUUGUAAAGCUCUUUCGGGCGGGGACGGAUAAUGACGGUACCCGCAGAAGAAGCCCCGGCUAACUUCGUGCCAGCAGCCG